UACAGAGGGUGCGAGCGUUAAUCGGAAUUACUGGGCGUAAAGCGUGCGUAGACGGUUCUGUAAGUCGGAUGUGAAAUCCCCGGGCUCAACCUGGGAAUUGCAUUCGAAACUGCAAAGCUAGGGUACGGUAGAGGGAAGCGGAAUUUCCGGUGUAGCGGUGAAAUGCGUAGAUAUCGGAAGGAACAUCAGUGGCGAAAGCGGCUUCCUGGACCAGUACCGACGUUCAGGCACGAAAGCGUGGGGAGCAAACAGG
This 253-nucleotide ribosomal RNA is filed under the name uncultured bacterium. RNAcentral's name for it is "partial 16S ribosomal RNA". It matches the Rfam family "Bacterial small subunit ribosomal RNA", at positions 524 to 776 of the family's 1533-position model. The record is from RNAcentral.